GAGCACGUAGGUGGGUUUGUAAGUCAGAUGUGAAAGCCUUCUGUUCAACGGAAGAAUUGCAUCUGAAACUGCGAGUCUUGAGUGUAGGAGGGGAGAAUGGAACUUCUGGUGGAGCGGUGAAAUGCGUAGAUAUCAGAAGGAACGCCGGCGGCGAAAGCGAUUCUUUGGCCUAUUACUGACACUCAGUGUGCGAAAGCUAGGGGAGCAAACGGGAUUAGAUACCCCGGUAGUCCUAGCCGUAAACGAUGGGCACUAAGUAGAGGGGUUUU
This 269-nucleotide ribosomal RNA is filed under the name uncultured anaerobic ammonium-oxidizing bacterium. RNAcentral's name for it is "partial 16S ribosomal RNA". It matches the Rfam family "Bacterial small subunit ribosomal RNA", at positions 565 to 832 of the family's 1533-position model. The record is from RNAcentral.